Gorilla gorilla gorilla (western lowland gorilla) is the source of this 5896-nucleotide long non-coding RNA. RefSeq lists it as uncharacterized. The transcript is spliced from 5 exons. The record is from RefSeq and is a predicted model, not a curated record. Lineage: Eukaryota; Metazoa; Chordata; Mammalia; Primates; Hominidae.
CCUGCGCGAUAUGAGCACUGCUCAGGACUGCAGCUGUUGGGCACCAGCAGCCAGGUCUGCAGGCUCCGCGAAGCCUGGCCCGGACCGUAGCUUCUGCAAGCAGUCCAGGUGUAUCCUGGGGUCACUGGAGGGCAGAGCCUGCUCAGAGCGAGUACAGAAGCAGCCCAAGUCUUCCCAGCACCAGGUUCACUGGAAGUGCCAGGUGUGGGAGAGGGAGCUGGGGAGGGAAGAGGGCUAUGCUGGUUCCCGAGCUGAAUGAUGUACCCAAGAGACCAGGUAGCUGCAGCAGGUACUAAGGCCACCACCUCCUUCAUGCUCCUCUCUGAUCACCUCUCCAAGUCCUGGUGUCAGGAGCCUUCUCUGUGGCCGCCCUGGAGAGACUUGAGCCUGGGACGUGACGUGCUGGGCUGUGAAGCUUUCUGAGAAGGGAAACCUGUGGCCUGACCUGCCUGGAUGCUGCACCCAACCUCAUCUCUUCCUGGGAGGCAGGCUCUCUUCGCUUGUUUUUACAAAUUUGAAACCAACAACUGUCAGCAUUAACACCAUCAGGCAUUUCUCUUCUAAUGUGGCCUUGCAGCCGACCACACGGCUAUCUGUGCAGGAUCUCUCCCCAAGCUCAAGGACAUGAGAUGCGGAUCAGGCCCAAGAGGCUGGAUGCCAAACCUAUCCUCUCCAUGUGAAGCCCCAACUUGGGGGUGUCAACUAAAAAUAUGAGACCCGUAAACUUGGAAAGGAGGACUUUAUUUCUUCAGAAGGGUUGCAAACUGCAGGCUGGGAAGUGGCACCUCCAGCUGAGACCACAAACAGUGGACUUUCUCAAACUGGGGUAUUGACCUCUGAUGAACCGCCAUCCAAACCCGUGCCUUUCAACAUAAAAAGAAGCCCUUCGAGGUGCUCACCUUCAAGCUUGCUAGAGGAGGAGGAAGAGCAGGUUGAGUUUGACAUAAUUAGAAUGGGUUGAGCCUUUCCAGCAGAGUAAGGUUCUUUCAUGGUGGACAGUGGCCACCCACUGCCAUUUCUACAAGAAGAUUGUGCUUCUUAGGCACUGAGUUCCUGGUUCUUUCACUAGAGAAAAAUGAGUAGGUUGGCAAUCCAGUACUUCCAUCUUCUGUGAAGACCUGGGCAGGCGAUGGAGGCUUGGGGGCGGGGGCAGGGACCAAAGACAAGGCUGCCAUUUGCUGUGCCCACCACAGAGGGACAUUUACUCCACCUGAAGCACAAGUAUUUUCUCAGUGAUGUUGGCUCCUACAAAGUCAAAAGGGGUAGGCUCCCUGGCUUACGCUCCAGGAGUUUGGACUGAAAGGGACACUAAAAGUGUCUUCCUCUAAGUUUAUGAUGUUGCCCUCCUCUGGCUACAACAGUGCUCUGGCCAUAAGCAUCCCAGGUUCUCUGAAUGAUGGUGGGUAUGGAAACGUUCCCAAACACAGGUAUGGUGGUGUCCGCUCCCACUGUACCAAUCUAUGCCCAGGGCUGGAAGGUCCGUGGUGCUCUGAACUGGAUUCAUAAACAGUAGCAUCUCCAACCACAAGCGUGGUGUCAGCCCCUCCAACAGUAGCACAUGUGCUCCCGUGGGUGCCUGAUAGAAAGUGGGAACAUGUGUUUAUUAGCCAGGUGGGCCCCAAAUGCUCUGAUGAGGUGCAGAAAGAGGACUCUUUGUCACAGUUGCAACACAUGUGCUCUGAACAGGUGGAGCCCAGGUGCUUUGCAUGUAGGUGGACACAAGAGGGCCUCUAAGCACAGGUGUGGUGUUGGAACCCUCAAGGCUACCAAUGCAUUCUGGCCAGGUGUGUCCCAGGUGGUCUGACUAUAGACAGCAACAGAAUUAUCUCCAGCACCGUUAUAGAGAUACCCGUCCAACUGAUGCGCUCUAGCAGGAUGGGACCCGGGUGAUCCGAACACAAGGAGGAACAGAAGUUUAUACUGAUACAUGCUCCUUCUUAGCGAUGUUAUCUCCUUCAAUAGUAACAGGUAUGCUUUGGCUGGGUGGGCCUCAGUCACUCUGUAGCCAGGAAGGAAAGGGCUCCCAAAACAGAUUUCUGCUCCGUAUAGCUGAUCUUCCCUCAUUGCAACAGGGAUGCUAUAGGCUGGUAGGACCUGGUGCUCAGGUCUAAGCCCCUCCUAGAAUAAGUUGUGGUUCUGAGCGUUGUCAGCCCUUCUGCAGAUUUCAAUGACCCCUGACAAGGAGCCAGGGUUUGGGACAGACACAAUGACUGCAAAGCUGCCACUACCCAAAGGGGCUUAGAUAUUGAUGGUGCAUGGCACUGCUGCAGUGGCCCUUUCUCUUGAUGCCCUUUUUUUUUUGAGACAGAGUUUCGCUCUGUCGCCCAGGCUGGAGUGCAGUGGCGCGAUCUUGGCUGACUGCAAGCUCCGCCUCCAGGGUUCAUGCCAUUCUCCUGCCUCAGGCCUCCACCUCUCAGGUUCAAGCGAUUCUCCUGCCUCCGCCUCUGCCUCCUGGGUUCAAGCAAACCUCCGUCUCCUGGACCCAAGUGAUUCUCCUGCCUCAGCCUCCCGAGUAGCUGGGACUACAGGUGUGCGCAAUCACACCCAGCUAAUUUUUGUAUUUUUAGUAGAGAUGGGGUUUCACCAUGUUGGCCAGGCUGGUCUCGAACUCCUGACCUCAGGUGAUCUGCGCGCCUCGGCCUCCCAAAAUGCUGGGAUUACAGGCAUGAGACACCAUGCCCGGCCCUCAGUCUCUUUUAAGCAAGGAUCAGGGGAGUAAUCAGAUGGCCCAUAUAGCACUCCUGCUAUUGAAGGAGCGCAGAUGUCGCUCAGAUAGCGACAGGAAGAGAAGUCAGUUUCCCCCUGCAGGUAGGAUCAGUACUUUUCCUAAGUGGCUGCACUUCUUUGAGGUGCAAGCAUACAGUGCUGUCUUUCUGAGAGCCCUGGCGUGACACCAAGGGGAGGCCCCCUUCUGAUGUAAACACUGAGCUUGCUGGGUUGCAUAAGGCCUCUCAGGGGUGAUAUAAACCGAGGGGGUAAAGGUGACCGUGUUGCUCCCAGGAACUGUGUUCAGAAGAUGCACAGGUGCAGCAGGAGGAUUCCUGCCAGAAGCAGGAACAGAGAGGGCAGGGAGAAAAAGGAGGAUGUUGGCCUGGGGGCCAGGCGGGGUGAGGCUUACUGAGGAAGUUGUCCGUGAAGAGCAGUUUGUGUGCUGUCUGACACUGAGAGUCUAGUAAGAAAUUUGGAGAGGUCUCCUAGCUGCAUGAUCCUCCAAGGCAAACCAUGCUGGAUGUUUGUGACAUGUCAUUGGAACACACACCAGAGAAAGGGUGUGCUAGAGCAGAGAGGGAAGACAAGGCACCAAAGGACAAAGGCGAAUCCCAGCAGGACUUUUGAGAGCUUGAGACAGCUCAUGCUCUUUGCAGGUGCUUGGCACCAGGUGUGCCCAAUGACAUGGAAAAGCAUCCAGGACUGUGUAUUAUAGGAUCCCACAUAACUGUCACCCCUAGAUCGCCAGGUCUGCAGGCUCCUCAGCAUCUAACCUAGGGGCAGCAACUAGUGACUGUGAGUCUCCUAGCCCUUUUCUCUGGGGUUAUUGGAGGUCAGAGGUCAGAGCGCCCUAGAUCCUGCCAGAAAGGGGCCCUGGCUCGCAGGAGGUCAGGGUAGGAGAGGUGGGGGUGUGGCCAGCAGGGAUCAACUCUGUCUUAUGUCAUUACUGGUGCACCCAGGUGGCCCAGCACGGCUGCAGCUGCAAGACACGUGCUCUGAUGGGGAGGAGAGACCAAGCAGUGUGGGGCGUGAUUUGCCCUGACCUCUUCCUUUCAGGCAACCUCUGCAGAGGACACUAGUUUACCCCCACAAUGUCCCCUUCCCAUGUGGUAGCUCAGGGUUACCAUACACUGUUUCCUCCAGGGAUCCCUCUAGGGCCUCUCAAGUCUUGGAGCAGGCAUAUCUUCUCUGUGGCCACCCAGGAAGGUGUGGGUCCAUGGGCAUGAGAUGUGAGUCCAGCUGGGCUGUGAAGGUUUCUGAGAUGGGUACUUGGCACCCCAAUUUUCCCAGGUCCUGCACCCCAUACCAUCCCUUCCAGGCAAGCAGAUCUUCCCUCUUUUAACAAAUUUUUCAAAUUGCAAACAGCAUUUAGGACUUUGCGCCUUCCUCAGGUCACCCAUGUGGGCGUAAGGGAGAGUCAGGAUUUGAACUCAGACUGUCUGAUUCCAGAGUUUAUCCAUUGACCACCUGACAGUGGUGAUGCCUCAUCAUGUGUGUCACGUAUUUACAUUUUUAAAUAGUCCUUAGGGUACUUAGCACCAUGGUACACCUGUCAUGAGAGUGUUCACUGCCUGCGUCAGAAGAUGCAGGGUGGAGAGCACCAAUUGUCAGCACAACCAUAUUGGGCAUUUCUCUGCUAAAUGAGUCUUGCACAAACCACACAGCUGUCUGUGAACUAUCUUCUCCCACGUACAGGACAGGAGACCACUUAGGUGCAAGAUACACUCUGUCUUAAGAGCCUUAUGCUCCAAGGACACCAACAUCUCUUGUGACAAUUCCAUAGACCUACUUUUUAGGAUCCUGGCUGAAAUUGGCAAUUUACUGAUAUCAAAUAGUGUACUCUAUCAGGAUGGUAAAUAGUUCCUUAUAUUUAGAACUCUUUUUUUUUUUUUUUUGGACAGAGUUUCACUCUUGUUGCCCAGGCUGGAGUGCAAUAGUGCAAUCUCAGCUCCCUAUAGCCUCCACCUCCCGGGUUCAAGUGAUUAUCCUGCCUCAGCCUCUCAAGUAGCUGGGACUACAGGCAUGCACCACUAUGCCCAGCUAAUUUUCUAUUUUUAGUAGACACGGGGUUUCACCACGUUGGUCAGGCUGGUCUCGAACUCCUGACCUCAGGUGAUCCACCUACCUCGGCUUCCCAAAAGCGUGAGCCACCACACCCGGCCUUUAGAAUGCUUUAAUUUUCUCUCAGAGACUAUGUUGUGGUUGGGGUUGACAAAUUACAGUUCAUGAGCUGAAUUCUUUCCAGUCUGUUUCUGUAGUGCCAAUAACCUUAGAAUGGUGAUAAGAGUUUUCAAAGUUUGUAGAAAAGAGGAAAGGAAAAAAGGAAGAAAAACAGAGGAAAAUAUGCAACAGAGACCAUAUGCAAUCUGCAGAGCCUAUAAUAUUUACUAUCUGGUCCUUUACAGAAAAAUUUGCCUCUUUUGUGAUUUUCAGUGUAUAAGUCUUGUACAGUAUUUACUAAUUUAUCCUUAUGUGUUUUAUAAGUUUUUUGUAUGCUAUCGUAAAUGGUGUCUUUUACAUUUUAGUUUUCAGUAUUCACUACUGGAAAAUACAGUUGAUUUUUAUAUAUUCACCUUGUAUGCUAGAACUUUGCUAAAUUCACUCUUUACUUUUAAUAGUUUCUUUGUAAAUUCCUUAGGAUAUUCUAUGUUGACAGUCAUGUUUUCUAUGAACAAAGAGAGUUUUGCUUCUUCCUUUUUAUCCUGUAUGCCUUUCAUUUUUAUUUCUUACCCUUAUAUUUGCUACAACCUCCAGUAAAAUGUUGAGAAAAAGUAGAGAUGUAGACAUAGUUUGCCAGUCCCUGAUCUUAGGCGAAAAGUAUUCAACACGGAAUUGAGUCAAAGUUUGUGGCAUAUGCACUUAAUCACUCAAAAGACAUAUCCUCUAAUUCCUAGUUUGCUAAAAGAUGUAAGAUUGUGUUAAUUUCUUUGCCCAUUUUGUUAAUUUCUUUUAGUUCCCACAUCUGAGGGAGAACGUGUAGUAUUUAUCUUUCUGUGCCUGACUUAUUUCGCUUAACACAAUGUUCUCCAGGCUCAUCCAUUUGCCACAAAUGACAUGGUUUUAUUUUUUUAACGACUGAAUAGUAUUCCAUUGUGUAUACAUAAUGCAUUUUCUUUAUCCAUUAUCUGUUGGUGGACAUUUAGAUUGAUUCCAUAUCUUAGCUAUUGUGAUAAGUGCUUCAAUAAAG